CCUACGGGGGGCUGCAGUGGGGAAUUUUGGACAAUGGGCGCAAGCCUGAUCCAGCCAUGCCGCGUGAGUGAAGAAGGCCUUCGGGUUGUAAAGCUCUUUCGGCCGGAACGAAAUCGUCCGGGCUAAUACCUCGGAUGGAUGACGGUACUGGAAGAAGAAGCACCGGCUAACUACGUGCCAGCAGCCGCGGUAAUACGUAGGGUGCAGGCGUUAAUCGGAAUGAGCGGGCGUGGCGCCCGCGCAGGCAGCUGAAAUCCCCGGGCUUAACCUGGGAACUGCGUUUGAAACUGGGAGGCUGGAGUGCGGCAGAGGGGGGUGGAAUUCCACGUGUAGCAGUGAAAUGCGUAGAUAUGUGGAGGAACACCGAUGGCGAAGGCAGCCCCCUGGGCCUGCACUGACGCUCAUGCACGAAAGCGUGGGGAGCAAACAGGAUUAGAUACCCCAGUAGUC
Molecule: ribosomal RNA, 450 nt
Filed under: uncultured bacterium
Lineage: Bacteria
Description: partial 16S ribosomal RNA
Rfam family: Bacterial small subunit ribosomal RNA
Source: RNAcentral